Molecule: ribosomal RNA, 498 nt
Filed under: uncultured bacterium
Lineage: Bacteria
Description: partial 16S ribosomal RNA
Rfam family: Bacterial small subunit ribosomal RNA
Source: RNAcentral
GACGAACGCUGGCGGCGUGCCUAAUACAUGCAAGUCGAACGAGAGCGACCGGUGUUUGCACUGGUCAAUCUAGUGGCGAACGGGUGAGUAACACGUGGGUAACCUGCCCAUCAGAGGGGGAUAACAUCCGGAAACGGAUGCUAAAACCGCAUAGGUCUUCGAACCGCAUGGUUGGAAGAGGAAAAGAGGCGCAAGCUUCUGCUGAUGGAUGGACCCGCGGUGCAUUAGCUAGUGGGGGGGGUAACGGCUCACCAAGGCCGUGAUGCAUAGCCGACCUGAGAGGGUGAUCGGCCACAUUGGGACUGAGACACGGCCCAAACUCCUACGGGAGGCAGCAGUAGGGAAUCUUCCGCAAUGGACGCAAGUCUGACGGAGCAACGCCGCGUGAGUGAAGAAGGUUUUCGGAUCGUAAAACUCUGUUGUUAGAGAAGAACAAGUGCUAGAGUAACUGUUAGCGCCUUGACGGUAUCUAACCAGAAAGCCACGGCUAACUACGUG